CCUACGGGAGGCUGCAGUGGGGAAUAUUGCACAAUGGGGGAAACCCUGAUGCAGCGACGCCGCGUGAGUGAAGAAGUAAUUCGGUUUGUAAAGCUCUAUCAGCAGGGAAGAAAAUGACGGUACCUGAGUAAGAAGCCCCGGCUAACUACGUGCCAGCAGCCGCGGUAAUACGUAGGGGGCAAGCGUUAUCCGGAUUUACUGGGUGGAAAGGGAGCGUAGACGGCAGUGCAAGUCUGGAGUGAAAGGCGCGGGCCUAACCCCCGGACUGGUUUGGAAACUGUAGGGCUGGAGUGCAGGAGAGGUAAGUGGAAUUCCUAGUGUAGCGGUGAAAUGCGUAGAUAUUAGGAGGAACACCAGUGGCGAAGGCGGCUUACUGGACUGUAACUGACGUUGAGGCUCGAAAGCGUGGGGAGCAAACAGGAGUAGAUACCCGAGUAGUC
This 440-nucleotide ribosomal RNA is filed under the name uncultured bacterium. Its description in RNAcentral is "partial 16S ribosomal RNA". It matches the Rfam family "Bacterial small subunit ribosomal RNA", at positions 338 to 795 of the family's 1533-position model. The record is from RNAcentral.